Molecule: ribosomal RNA, 868 nt
Filed under: Pseudonocardia sp.
Lineage: Bacteria; Bacillati; Actinomycetota; Actinomycetes; Pseudonocardiales; Pseudonocardiaceae
Description: bacterial SSU rRNA
Rfam family: Bacterial small subunit ribosomal RNA
Source: RNAcentral
AGUCGAGCGGUAAGGCCCUUCGGGGUACACGAGCGGCGAACGGGUGAGUAACACGUGGGCGACCUGCCCUCCACUCUGGGAUAAGCCCGGGAAACUGGGUCUAAUACCGGAUAUGACCUUCCCUCGCAUGGGGGUUGGUGGAAAGUUUUUCGGUGGGGGAUGGGCCCGCGGCCUAUCAGCUUGUUGGUGGGGUGAUGGCCCACCAAGGCGACGACGGGUAGCCGGCCUGAGAGGGCGACCGGCCACACUGGGACUGAGACACGGCCCAGACUCCUACGGGAGGCAGCAGUGGGGAAUAUUGCGCAAUGGGCGAAAGCCUGACGCAGCGACGCCGCGUGGGGGAUGACGGCCUUCGGGUUGUAAACCUCUUUCGCCAGGGACGAAGCGUGAGUGACGGUACCUGGAUAAGAAGCACCGGCCAACUACGUGCCAGCAGCCGCGGUAACACGUAGGGUGCGAGCGUUGUCCGGAAUUAUUGGGCGUAAAGAGCUCGUAGGCGGUCUGUCGCGUCGGUCGUGAAAACUUGGGGCUUAACUCUGAGCUUGCGGUCGAUACGGGCAUGACUGGAGUUCGGCAGGGGAGACUGGAAUUCCUGGUGUAGCGGUGAAAUGCGCAGAUAUCAGGAGGAACACCGGUGGCGAAGGCGGGUCUCUGGGCCGAUACUGACGCUGAGGAGCGAAAGCGUGGGGAGCGAACAGGAUUAGAUACCCUGGUAGUCCACGCCGUAAACGUUGGGCGCUAGGUGUGGGGGCCAUUCCACGGUCUCUGUGCCGCAGCUAACGCAUUAAGCGCCCCGCCUGGGGAGUACGGCCGCAAGGCUAAAACUCAAAGGAAUUGACGGGGCCCGCACAAGCGGCGGAGCAUGUGG